UUGUCUUUCUCUCUUUACUUUCUCUCUUCCCCAAAAAAGCACACGGCCUCAUAUGGAACUGGUAUAGGCAUGUCCUAUCCAUUCUUAUAUUAUCUAUGACAACAAUACGAUGAUGUCUGAUUAGACUGGUUUGCGAUUAGGUAUUAACAGAUACGAGCGUCUAGAGAGUAGAGACCAUACUAUUAUCUAUGUUAUAACCUCAAAUAUUUUUCCAAUUAUUUCCCGUGUGAUAAGUUUGCAUGGCAUAUCUAUUAUCUAUGCUAGAGACUGAUAGUGCCUACUAUCUUAUAUUGUGCUCUCUGCAAUAAUUGCAGCUGACAUCGUGGUUCCGUGGUUAUAUGAUAUGGAAGUAUACCUUAUACUGGGUUAACGUUAAUCACAUAAAAAUACGUUAGUUAUUAAAUAAACGGUUAAGGUUAUAAGAUAACUCAUAAUUCAUAACAAACAGAAUCCGUGAGUCCGUGACUCAUGGUCGUAGGUAUUUUAUUUUUUAAUAUAUCUAAUACCCUAUUGGUUCUUCUAUAAAGUAUAAUUAUUGUCUUUAUUAUUAUUUACCACAUAUUGUAUUUUACGUAUUUUAUUUAAUAAUUUAAUACUUUAAUCAAACAUAUAUGUACCUGAAUUGAUUUAUGACACGUGGAUUGGAUGCUUGGCGAUUACAUUUGUACAAUUUAUGGUUUAAUCAUUUAUACAUAAUAUACUAUUUUUGUUCAAAUGUAUACCUAACCAAGGAACACUGGUACUUACUGGAUAAUACAUGACUUGUUAUGCAAUCAAAUGGCAUAUGACAACACAGAAAUAUUGCAACCAACUAUGAUGUUCCUGCGACCUGCCAGUUAUUGUAGAGUUUGUUUUGAUGACGGAUGAUUUGAAGGAUAUAGGUACAGGGUGUUUUAAGUGUUUUGUCAUAGACCGAGACAAGACUGGUAUACAAUAAUUACACUUCUUGCGUUAAUUUAAACUUUUAUUUAGUGUGUACUUAUUGUAUGUGUGUACUUAUACGUAUCGUUCGUCCAUAAACUCAUCGAUUCAAUGAUGAGUGCAGGCGAUCGUAAUUUUCGUUUUAUUAACACUUAUUAUUGCAUGACGUGAAAUUUUAAGUUUUAAAUUUGUUUAUGGGUACAUAUUUAUACAUCUGGUACCUACUCAUUGCAUUAUACAAUACUGUGACAAGGUGUUGAUUACUCAAAACUUCACACAAUUAUUUUAUUUAGAACUUUUCCUACUUAUAUAUAAAACUACUGAGAGUAUCUUAAACAUUUUAAAGUGUGCUACUGUAGCAAUGUUAUGUUAAAUUACAUUUUUUAUCUGAGUAAUCACAGAAGUUUUGGGAUAAAUAUUGGCCCAAAUAUAACAAAAAUUAUCUGCUCCUUCCAGCACCCCAGGAAAUAAAUUACUAGCUCCGUGACUGGAUGUCUGGGUCUACCUCGUCUCUAUUAGGUACUCUGUUAAAUGUAAGCUACACAGAUUUGUAACUCGAUAAUUUUGGCUGUAUGCGUUGCGAUUAUGCGAAUCAGUCAGUCAGGACUUGUUCCCUUAUAUACAUAAUAUGCAGAAGAUAUACCCGAGUAUAUAAUGUAAAUGUAUUACCAUAUCGAUUAAAUAUACUAGUAGUAUAUUUAAUCAAUAGUAUUAUACAGGGUGUAACAAUAAGAAG
This 1657-nucleotide long non-coding RNA is filed under the name Acyrthosiphon pisum (pea aphid). RNAcentral describes it as "uncharacterized LOC115034718". Lineage: Eukaryota; Metazoa; Arthropoda; Insecta; Hemiptera; Aphididae. The record is from RNAcentral.